GACUCUCGGCAACGGAUAUCUCGGCUCACGCAUCGAUGAAGAACGUAGCAAAAUGCGAUACUUGGUGUGAAUUGCAGAAUCCCGUGAACCAUCGAGUUUUUGAACGCAAGUUGAGCCCAAAGCCUUUCGGCCAAGGGCACGUCUGCCUGGGCGUCACAC
RNAcentral lists this ribosomal RNA (159 nucleotides) under Roldana suffulta. Its description in RNAcentral is "5.8S ribosomal RNA". It matches the Rfam family "5.8S ribosomal RNA". Rfam says of the family: 5.8S ribosomal RNA (5.8S rRNA) is a component of the large subunit of the eukaryotic ribosome. It is transcribed by RNA polymerase I as part of the 45S precursor that also contains 18S and 28S rRNA. Lineage: Eukaryota; Viridiplantae; Streptophyta; Magnoliopsida; Asterales; Asteraceae. The record is from RNAcentral.